UGAGUAACGCGUAGGUAACCUGCCUGGUAGCGGGGGAUAACUAUUGGAAACGAUAGCUAAUACCGCAUAAAAUUGAUUAUUGCAUGAUAAUUAAUUGAAAGAUGCAAUUGCAUCACUACCAGAUGGACCUGCGUUGUAUUAGCUAGUUGGUGAGGUAACGGCUCACCAAGGCGACGAUACAUAGCCGACCUGAGAGGGUGAUCGGCCACACUGGGACUGAGACACGGCCCAGACUCCUACGGGAGGCAGCAGUAGGGAAUCUUCGGCAAUGGGGGGAACCCUGACCGAGCAACGCCGCGUGAGUGAAGAAGGUUUUCGGAUCGUAAAGCUCUGUUGUAAGAGAAGAACGGGUGUGAGAGUGGAAAGUUCACACUGUGACGGUAUCUUACCAGAAAGGGACGGCUAACUACGUGCCAGCAGCCGCGGUAAUACGUAGGUCCCGAGCGUUGUCCGGAUUUAUUGGGCGUAAAGCGAGCGCAGGCGGCUAGAUAAGUCUGAAGUUAAAGGCUGUGG
Molecule: ribosomal RNA, 513 nt
Filed under: uncultured bacterium
Lineage: Bacteria
Description: bacterial SSU rRNA
Rfam family: Bacterial small subunit ribosomal RNA
Source: RNAcentral